ACAAAAGAUUAGCGGUUCUUGAGGAGAGAGGAACUCAGUAUCAAGAAAAAGGAGAAAGAAGUAUGGGAAGAGGGAGAGUGGAGAUGAAGAUGAUAGAAAACAAAAUCAAUAGACAAGUGACCUUCUCAAAAAGAAAAAACGGGUUGUUAAAGAAAGCUUAUGAGCUCUCUGUUCUCUGCGAUGCUGAAGUUGCUCUCAUCGUCUUCUCUAGCCGCGGCAAGCUCUACGAGUUCGGCAGUGUCGGAGUUGAAAGAACAAUUGAACGGUAUCAUCGUUGCUACAACUGUUCUCUGAGCAAUAAUAGGCCUGAGGAGUCUACACAGGCAUGUGUAUAUACGUACUUUCGAUUUAUACAAUAAAUGAACCUGUUUAAAUUUGUAACUACUCUUACUUCAAACUCUCUCGCUAUUAUAUGCAUUUCAUUAUAUAACCCUACAUGUGCAGAAUUGGUGUCAAGAGGUGAGAAAGCUCAAAUCCAAAUACGAAUCUCUUGUUCGCACUAAUAGGUUUAUUAAUAGUUUUCUAAGCCCUUGAAAUUAUAUAGGGAUCAUCAUAUCAUCUUCUGUUAUACAUAUUAUAUAUAUAGCUGAAUAGUUGAUGUCUGUUGAUAUUCAUGCUAAUUAUCAAGGCACUUGCUUGGAGAAGAUCUUGGAGAAAUGAGCGUGAAGGAACUGCAAAGGUUGGAGAGGCAGCUGGAAGUCGCUCUUUCUGCCACUCGAAAACGCAAGACACAAGUUAUGAUGGAAGAAAUGGAAGAUCUUCGGAAAAAGGCAAAGUAUAUAUUGUUAUGUACUAAACUGAUACAUGUAUUAACCAAUCUAUUUUUGAAAUGGUAGGAGAGACAACUCGGAGACAUAAACAAACAACUUAAGAUUAAGUUUGAGGUCGAAGGCCAUGCUUUCAAAUCGUUGCAAGACUUAUGGACAGCAUCAGUGCCCAGUGAUCCCAACAAUUCUGAAUUUCCGAUUCAGCCUAGUGCAGUGGAUUGCAACACCG
Molecule: long non-coding RNA, 996 nt
Organism: Raphanus sativus (radish)
Lineage: Eukaryota; Viridiplantae; Streptophyta; Magnoliopsida; Brassicales; Brassicaceae
Exons: 4
Source: RefSeq, a predicted model, not a curated record